This 349-nucleotide unclassified non-coding RNA is filed under the name soil metagenome. Its description in RNAcentral is "partial contains 5.8S ribosomal RNA, internal transcribed spacer 2, and large subunit ribosomal RNA". The stretch from base 1 to 120 matches the Rfam family "5.8S ribosomal RNA", at positions 35 to 154 of the family's 154-position model. The record is from RNAcentral.
GAUGAAGAACGCAGCGAAAUGCGAUAAGUAACGUGAAUUGCAGAAUUCAGUGAAUCAUCGAAUCUUUGAACGCACAUUGCGCCCGGCAGUAAUCUGCCGGGCAUGCCUGUCCGAGCGUCAUUUCACCCCUCGAGCCGCUUUUAGUGGAUCGGUGUUGGGGCACUACGGUAAAACGUAGGCCCUGAAAUGAAGUGGCGGUCCCGCCGCGGUGCCCCCAUGCGUAGUAACGUUUAGUCUCGCAUCGGGUCCCGGCGGAGGCCUGCCGUCAAGCCUAUUUAUUCUCAGAAUAGUUUGACCUCGGAUCAGGUAGGGUUACCCGCUGAACUUAAGCAUAUCAAUAAGCGGAGGA